GGUGACCUGGCAAGCCUCAAUGGGGCUUCUCCCGGGCCCCCUCCUGGUCCAGAGGAUGCCUCCCUUUCUCCAAAGAGCAUCUUCUUUCUCUGGCGUGUCCGUGGGCCCCUCCAAGCCCACUGGUCCCCAUGGGUGUCAUUAGGACUUGACGGGCCCACCCUCUCCUGCAGCUGCCACUGCAGGCCGCUCCUACUGAGGGGACUCAGUGGGCUGCUCCUUGGCCCCCUAAGUCAACACAGCUUGGUGCUACUUGGGUGGGCAUGGGAGAGCAAUUUGUGAGCCCAGCAAGUGAGCAUCAGAGCGGGAGCCAGGACCAGGCAGUGAGGCCUCUGGCUUGACCCAAGUGGUGGGACCCCAGGCAGGGCCUAGAGAGGCGGAGGAGGCUCCA
RNAcentral lists this long non-coding RNA (388 nucleotides) under Homo sapiens (human). Its description in RNAcentral is "HSALNT0099626". Lineage: Eukaryota; Metazoa; Chordata; Mammalia; Primates; Hominidae. The record is from RNAcentral.